Molecule: ribosomal RNA, 497 nt
Filed under: uncultured bacterium
Lineage: Bacteria
Description: partial 16S ribosomal RNA
Rfam family: Bacterial small subunit ribosomal RNA
Source: RNAcentral
GAUGAACGCUGGCGGCGUGCCUAAUACAUGCAAGUCGAGCGAACAGACGAGGAGCUUGCUCCUCUGACGUUAGCGGCGGACGGGUGAGUAACACGUGGAUAACCUACCUAUAAGACUGGGAUAACUUCGGGAAACCGGAGCUAAUACCGGAUAAUAUAUUGAACCGCAUGGUUCAAUGGUGAAAGACGGUUUUGCUGUCACUUAUAGAUGGAUCCGCGCCGCAUUAGCUAGUUGGUAAGGUAACGGCUUACCAAGGCAACGAUGCGUAGCCGACCUGAGAGGGUGAUCGGCCACACUGGAACUGAGACACGGUACAGACUCCUACGGGAGGCAGCAGUAGGGAAUCUUCCGCAAUGGGCGAAAGCCUGACGGAGCAACGCCGCGUGAGUGAUGAAGGUCUUCGGAUCGUAAAACUCUGUUAUUAGGGAAGAACAAAUGUGUAAGUAACUAUGCACGUCUUGACGGUACCUAAUCAGAAAGCCACGGCUAACUACGUG